Molecule: small RNA, 553 nt
Filed under: Saccharomyces cerevisiae YJM1202
Lineage: Eukaryota; Fungi; Ascomycota; Saccharomycetes; Saccharomycetales; Saccharomycetaceae
Description: SRG1
Rfam family: srg1
Source: RNAcentral
UAAUGCCUUUGUUUGGCCAAGCUAUGUGCAAAUAUCACAAAUUAAUAAAUUUGGUUAAGCAGUUAGGCUGGACCUAAUAUUUUAGAAAAACCUAAUUCUUUUUGUGGACCCAUUUUCGAUAUUUACUCACAAAUGGAAUUCAAGGGGAACAACUUCGGUCUCAGCACUUUAAUUAUUCUUCUCGUUCCCACCUAAUUUCGCAAUUUAUUGUCCUUGACUUCUACCACGAGAAAAAAAUUAAGAAAAUGCAACGCUGCCCGUGCAGGGUUUUCUGAGCGGGAUGAAAAAAAUCAGACAAAUAUCCAAGUUAUGAGUAAUUACUUUGUUGGAAGGAGGGAGCAGAGCAUAAGGAAAUUCUUAAAACUGUUAUGUAUAUAAAGGAAGAACCAUUUCUAGUUAUUUCACUUUUUGAUACUUGUCAACUAUCUUAGUAAAAAUACAGAACUCUAUAAAGAACCACAGAAAAAUCGACAGCAAUGACAAGCAUUGACAUUAACAACUUACAAAAUACCUUUCAACAAGCUAUGAAUAUGAGCGGCUCCCCAGGCGCUGU